RNAcentral lists this ribosomal RNA (331 nucleotides) under uncultured eukaryote. RNAcentral describes it as "partial 18S ribosomal RNA". It matches the Rfam family "Eukaryotic small subunit ribosomal RNA", at positions 1470 to 1796 of the family's 1831-position model. The record is from RNAcentral.
CCCUUAGAUGUUCUGGGCCGCACGCGCGCUACACUGACGAAGCCAGCGAGCAUGUCCUACGCCGACAGGUGCGGGGAAUCUUGUCAAACUUCGUCGUGAUGGGGAUUGAUUAUUGAAAUUCUUGAUCAUCAACGAGGAAUUCCUAGUAAGCGCAAGUCAGCAGCUUGCGUUGAUUACGUCCCUGCCCUUUGUACACACCGCCCGUCGCUACUACCGAUUGAAUGGUUUAGUGAGAUCUUCGGAUUGGCGCCACUGCGGCUCAGCAAUGGGCUCGGUGGAUGCCGAAAAGUUGAUCAAACUUGAUCAUUUAGAGGAAGUAAAAGUCGUAACA